GAUUGAACGCUGGCGGCAGGCCUAACACAUGCAAGUCGAACGGUAACAGGAAGCAGCUUGCUGCUUCGCUGACGAGUGGCGGACGGGUGAGUAAUGUCUGGGAAACUGCCUGAUGGAGGGGGAUAACUACUGGAAACGGUAGCUAAUACCGCAUAACGUCGCAAGACCAAAGAGGGGGACCUUCGGGCCUCUUGCCAUCGGAUGUGCCCAGAUGGGAUUAGCUAGUAGGUGGGGUAACGGCUCACCUAGGCGACGAUCCCUAGCUGGUCUGAGAGGAUGACCAGCCACACUGGAACUGAGACACGGUCCAGACUCCUACGGGAGGCAGCAGUGGGGAAUAUUGCACAAUGGGCGCAAGCCUGAUGCAGCCAUGCCGCGUGUAUGAAGAAGGCCUUCGGGUUGUAAAGUACUUUCAGCGGGGAGGAAGGCGAUAAGGUUAAUAACCUUGUCGAUUGACGUUACCCGCAGAAGAAGCACCGGCUAACUCCGUGCCAGCAGCCGCGGUAAUACGGAGGGUGCAAGCGUUAAUCGGAAUUACUGGGCGUAAAGCGCACGCAGGCGGUCUGUCAAGUCGGAUGUGAAAUCCCCGGGCUCAACCUGGGAACUGCAUUCGAAACUGGCAGGCUAGAGUCUUGUAGAGGGGGGUAGAAUUCCAGGUGUAGCGGUGAAAUGCGUAGAGAUCUGGAGGAAUACCGGUGGCGAAGGCGGCCCCCUGGACAAAGACUGACGCUCAGGUGCGAAAGCGUGGGGAGCAAACAGGAUUAGAUACCCCUGGUAGUCCACGCCGUAAACGAUGUCGACUUGGAGGUUGUGCCCUUGAGGCGUGGCUUCCGGAGCUAACGCGUUAAGUCGACCGCCUGGGGAGUACGGCCGCAAGGUUAAAACUCAAAUGAAUUGACGGGGGCCCGCACAAGCGGUGGAGCAUGUGGUUUAAUUCGAUGCAACGCGAAGAACCUUACCUACUCUUGACAUCCAGAGAACUUUCCAGAGAUGGAUUGGUGCCUUCGGGAACUCUGAGACAGGUGCUGCAUGGCUGUCGUCAGCUCGUGUUGUGAAAUGUUGGGUUAAGUCCCGCAACGAGCGCAACCCUUAUCCUUUGUUGCCAGCGGUUAGGCCGGGAACUCAAAGGAGACUGCCAGUGAUAAACUGGAGGAAGGUGGGGAUGACGUCAAGUCAUCAUGGCCCUUACGAGUAGGGCUACACACGUGCUACAAUGGCGCAUACAAAGAGAAGCGACCUCGCGAGAGCAAGCGGACCUCAUAAAGUGCGUCGUAGUCCGGAUUGGAGUCUGCAACUCGACUCCAUGAAGUCGGAAUCGCUAGUAAUCGUGGAUCAGAAUGCCACGGUGAAUACGUUCCCGGGCCUUGUACACACCGC
Molecule: ribosomal RNA, 1377 nt
Filed under: uncultured bacterium
Lineage: Bacteria
Description: bacterial SSU rRNA
Rfam family: Bacterial small subunit ribosomal RNA
Source: RNAcentral